AGAUACCAAAAAAAAAAAACGACUACAUUUUCUUAUUAAUAUCUUAUUUACCACUGAUUCAUGUUAAGUAAUCUUAAGAUUAAAGUAAUCUUAAUGUUAAGGGGAGAUUCAUGUUAAGUAAUCUUAAGAUUAAAUUAAGUGUUUAUCAAUUUCUGUGUAUCGCGACUUUUAGGGUUCAUAGAUAUGUUGUAUUGAUCUCUCUAGGGUUUUAUUUUGGUUGGUUUGAAUCACGGCACGAAACUAGUACAAUCGGCUGGGGGCUUCUUCUCUGCAGGAUGAUUAGAAACUGCGACGGGGGUUUCCGGGAGAGAAUUUUAACCGGAGGUUGAGAGAUUGCAAGGAGACUUUUGGCGAUGAUUGUGUGAAUCUUCUGGGAAGAAGAGAGCGAGGGCGAAGAACUGAUCGGCUUCAUCUUCCAGUAGCCGCCAUCACUGUGCAGUUGAAGAAGAAGAAGAAGAUUUUAGCUUCUCCGUUUGAUUUGUAUCUCUGAAUCUGAGGGAAACGAUACUAAUUUCCAAAACAGCGUACAGAGACAUCUGUCUAAGCAGAUCGGAGAUAUCAUAUAUGGUUCUAGUGAUUGAUGGUCUUUGACUCAAUACGUCUUCUUUCUCCACUUCAAAUUCCCCAUCCAUAAGUGAGAGCCUAACUCUCUUUUAAAAUUACAACAUUUUUCUACAUUGGACAGAGAUACUACUAAGCAAAACCUUCAAUCUGUCCUAAUGUCUAGGAGGAACAAGAGUUUGGCGCAAGAUCAUUAAAAAAUGUAUGUAACUGUGCUACAUCCUUUGUCUUCUGAGGUCAUUUCUCGCUAGGCUAUUAUAGAUAUAGGAACCAUUCACUCAUGGAAAGUCCACUGUUGUGAAAGCUAUCUCUGCUGUGCAGACUGUUCGUUUUAAGAACGAAUUUGAGCGUAACAUUACCAUUAAGCUUGGAUAACAGGAUAAGCAGAUGCCAAUCUUUACAAAUGUGAGGAUGACAAAUGCCCUAGACCAAUGUGCUACAAGUCCUACCGAAGUGGAAAGGAAGACACCCCAAUUUGUGAUGUCCCUGGAUUUGAGAACUACAAGAUGAAACUAUUGAGGCAUGUGUCAUUCGUGGAUUGCCUGGAUAUAACGGAUUAUGAUGAUGUUAGAUACUGUUGCUCGGGGGCCAAUGUUUGCUCCAAGUGUUGGCCUUUGAUGACAGUUGCUAUAAGAGAGGACUUUGGUUUCAAAUAUAUUCUCUGGGUCAUCAGUGGACGCUGUGGAGUUCACUGUUGGGUUUGUGAUGUUAAAGCCCGAAGGUGAAACAAGACCACUAAAACCGUGUCUAUCUUUGCGUGGUCUAUGUUCAUUGCUUUCCACAUUUCAUCUUCUCCUUUUUGAAUGAAACUCUGCAUAAUGAACAAAGAUCAGCAGUUGCUGAGUACGUCCGUGUUUAUGAGGUGGUGUCCUCAAGAGCUAAAUUGUGGUUUAUUUUCUAAGUUUUAUUGUUUCUGUGACACAGGGGAACAGAAACAAUGCAAAAAAAGUUGAUCUUAUGGGUCAUCCUCUUCAUCUGUUCCUUGCGUACGGGUUUAUCUACAACCUUUUCCUUUCUGAUUUCAGAAUCACUGUCUUUGUUGCUAAUUUCAGUUUGGCUUUUCGGGAGUUACAGACAACGCAAACUAUAUUAUCAAGCAAAGGAAAAUAUGAGAAGAUACUUGGAUGAUAACAAAUGAAGGUAUGGAAGAGUGAUGAUGUAUUUUUUCCAGCGUACAUAACUUCCGUUAUCUAACACCUGCAGAUUCAGAUAGAAAUUUACUUGGGAAAUCAAUCAAAUUCUUCAGAUCCUCAUUCCUAUAACCAUUACUAAAAUCCUGCAUGGUGAAUCACUCAUUGCUCUACUUGUACCCACGGUUCUGAAUUGAUGCGUAGUAUGUUUAAGGGUUCAGAUACAGUUAUUGAAAGAGUUAUGUAUGUUAAUGAAAUGUAUGCAUGGUGAAUACCUCAUUGCUCUACUUUUACCCACGCUCUGAAUUGAUGCGUAGUAUGUUUAAGGGUUCAGAUACAGUUAUUGAAAGAGUAAUGUAUGUUAAUGAAAUGUCUGCAGGAAGAAAUAGAGAGUUCACACAAGACCAAAAAUUGAGAAGUCUAAGGAUACAUUCAGCUGGUGACUAAGAUAUGGUUUCCUCCGUGAUGUUGUAUCAACCUUUUCGCAAUGCCGGUUGGUAAUGAGUAUAUAUAGUUCCUUUUUACCAUUGAACAUUGACGUCAACAAUCAACAGACCAAACUCGAGAUAGAAGGAAUGGUUACCCAUACACGACGACAAACAUCAAGAGAAACCACCACGAAUACGGUAACCAUUGACUUCAUCAUCUGCCGUAACCACUGCCACAUAACAGAAAAUUCAUAAAUAUAGAUUAGAAACUAUACCACCAAACACCGUUCCGAUUACUAUAUGUGGUAUGGCGCAUCGAGGCACAAUAGGGUUGUUGGAUAGAAAACACCUGUAAUUUUUUUUAUCACACUUCGAUGAAUUGAACAGAUACAGUAGAUUUAAAGGCAUUUUAUUCUUAAUAUAACUAGGUUUUGAACCCA
Non-coding RNA from Camelina sativa (false flax), 2559 nucleotides. NCBI's taxonomy places the organism in Eukaryota, Viridiplantae, Streptophyta, Magnoliopsida, Brassicales, Brassicaceae. The record is from RefSeq and is a predicted model, not a curated record.